RNAcentral lists this ribosomal RNA (560 nucleotides) under uncultured bacterium. RNAcentral's name for it is "bacterial SSU rRNA". It matches the Rfam family "Bacterial small subunit ribosomal RNA", at positions 224 to 801 of the family's 1533-position model. The record is from RNAcentral.
GAUGAGCCCGCGUUGGAUUAGCUAGUUGGUGGGGUAAAGGCCUACCAAGGCGACGAUCCAUAGCUGGUCUGAGAGGAUGAUCAGCCACAUUGGGACUGAGACACGGCCCAAACUCCUACGGGAGGCAGCAGUGGGGAAUAUUGGACAAUGGGCGCAAGCCUGAUCCAGCCAUGCCGCGUGAGUGAUGAAGGCCUUAGGGUUGUAAAGCUCUUUCACCGGAGAAGAUAAUGACGGUAUCCGGAGAAGAAGCCCCGGCUAACUUCGUGCCAGCAGCCGCGGUAAUACGAAGGGGGCUAGCGUUGUUCGGAAUUACUGGGCGUAAAGCGCACGUAGGCGGAUAUUUAAGUCAGGGGUGAAAUCCCAGAGCUCAACUCUGGAACUGCCUUUGAUACUGGGUAUCUUGAGUAUGGAAGAGGUAAGUGGAAUUGCGAGUGUAGAGGUGAAAUUCGUAGAUAUUCGCAGGAACACCAGUGGCGAAGGCGGCUUACUGGUCCAUUACUGACGCUGAGGUGCGAAAGCGUGGGGAGCAAACAGGGUUAGAUACCCUGGUAGUCCACGCC